AUGGUCUUCCCUGCCCGUCGGGUAGCCAUGGGCUAAAGCAAUAGGCGGGAUAAGCAUGUAGAGCCGAAGGCGGAGGACUCACGGACGCGGGUUCGAUUCCCGCCGCCUCCACCA
This 114-nucleotide transfer-messenger RNA is filed under the name Thiotrichales bacterium. RNAcentral's name for it is "partial transfer-messenger RNA". It matches the Rfam family "transfer-messenger RNA", at positions 257 to 374 of the family's 374-position model. From Rfam's summary of the family: Bacterial tmRNA, also known as 10Sa RNA or SsrA, is named for its dual tRNA and mRNA-like properties. Its role is to liberate the mRNA from a stalled ribosome. To accomplish this part of the tmRNA is used as a reading frame that ends in a translation stop signal. The record is from RNAcentral. Lineage: Bacteria; Pseudomonadati; Pseudomonadota; Gammaproteobacteria; Thiotrichales.